Exaiptasia diaphana is the source of this 361-nucleotide long non-coding RNA. RefSeq lists it as uncharacterized. The record is from RefSeq and is a predicted model, not a curated record. Lineage: Eukaryota; Metazoa; Cnidaria; Anthozoa; Actiniaria; Aiptasiidae. The transcript is spliced from 2 exons.
AGAUGUCGAGCUUGAGGCAAAUUAACAAAGCUUUAUAUGUCUACCAUAACUGCAAGAAGUCGUAAAAAGCCUACAAAAAGACAAAUUAAGAAGAUCUGGAAGCGGUUUGGUCUUAGUCAUGGAAGAAAACCCGUCGCUACUUGUUGCUUGUGCCUUUGCAACCAGAUUUCUUGCGCUGUAUCACAAGAAAUGUUUUUUCCCUGACCACCAUGCCAAUUCACAAAUCACCCCCAUGUCAGCCUACAACACAUUUGCUCUGACACCAAAGCUUCAGUUUGGGCAAUACUGAUAAACAUUUCUAGAGCAUAUUUAGAAUAAUUGUUGUUUGCUUUAAAGUACAUUAAAAGCUUUUUCUUAUUAA